RNAcentral lists this ribosomal RNA (496 nucleotides) under uncultured bacterium. Its description in RNAcentral is "partial 16S ribosomal RNA". It matches the Rfam family "Bacterial small subunit ribosomal RNA", at positions 28 to 506 of the family's 1533-position model. The record is from RNAcentral.
GAUGAACGCUGGCGGCGUGCCUAAUACAUGCAAGUCGAGCGAACAGACGAGGAGCUUGCUCCUCUGACGUUAGCGGCGGACGGGUGAGUAACACGUGGAUAACCUACCUAUAAGACUGGGAUAACUUCGGGAAACCGGAGCUAAUACCGGAUAAUAUAUUGAACCGCAUGGUUCAAUAGUGAAAGACGGUUUUGCUGUCACUUAUAGAUGGAUCCGCGCCGCAUUAGCUAGUUGGUAAGGUAACGGCUUACCAAGGCAACGAUGCGUAGCCGACCUGAGAGGGUGAUCGGCCACACUGGAACUGAGACACGGUCCAGACUCCUACGGGAGGCAGCAGUAGGGAAUCUUCCGCAAUGGGCGAAAGCUUGACGGAGCAACGCCGCGUGAGUGAUGAAGGUCUUCGGAUCGUAAAACUCUGUUAUUAGGGAAGAACAAAUGUGUAAGUAACUAUGCACGUCUUGACGGUACCUAAUCAGAAAGCCGCGGCUAACUACGU